RNAcentral lists this long non-coding RNA (5028 nucleotides) under Sus scrofa (pig). RNAcentral's name for it is "lncRNA (ENSSSCG00030005493.1)". Lineage: Eukaryota; Metazoa; Chordata; Mammalia; Artiodactyla; Suidae. The record is from RNAcentral.
GGGCUGCACUAGGGGCUUGGGUGACAGCGGGGAAGGGAGACCCAGAGUUACUCACUAAAGACAUUUAUUAAUUGAAUUCUCUUGAAGGAAGAAUGGCCCUUGGGCCUUCUGGAGGAUGUGGCCUUGCUUGAUGUUUGCCUCGGUUCGGAUUGCCUCUGUGGGAAGCCCUCUGGGAUCUCGUCCAGGGAAAGGGAAGGAGAGAGAGGAGAGGAAGAGGGAAGCCUGGGUGCAGAUUCCUUUGGAGUUUGUGCUGGGCCUUUAAAAAUAGCAAGAUGGGAGUUCCUGUCAUGGCUCAGUGAUAACGAAUCCAACUAGGAUCCGUGAGGACGUGGCCUCGCUCAGUGGGUUAAGGAUCCUGCGUUGCCAUGAGCUGUGAUGUAGGUCACAGAUGCGGCUCAGAUCCUGUGGUUUUGUGGCUGUGGUGUAGGCCAGCAGCUACAGCUCCGACUGGACCCCUAGCCUAGGAACGUCCAUAUGCCGCAAGUGCAGCCCUAAAAGAACAAAAACAAACAAAAAACCCCAGCAAGAGGGGCAUCGUGUUCCGUCGUGGUGAGUUGGCACCUUGCCUUGGUUCUGUUCCCCGAGUCUCCUUCAUUCCUGAUGUAAAGCAGGGGUUAAUAAUGAAAGUGGUGGGAAUGCUUUCAGAAAAUAGCUCAUUAGAAGCCUGGCUUGCAUGGCCAUCUGCCAGAACUUUGCCAGGGAAGCUGUUGCUGGGAGCAAGCGUGUUCUUCCCUGUGGAUGCUGAACUUUUACGUAUCUCAGACAUAUUAGUUGAUGACCGCUGCCUGGGUCUUUGAGCAUGUUGUGUAUCUUUGGAACUGGUCACAAGUGGGAGGCCACGGCUGCAGGGAGGGCUCUGGAAAGAAGGACCCACAAGGAGCCCGUGGGGCCACCGAGGCAGGUCUGGAGGAGGCUGGACCCGAUUCCAGGCAGUGGCCCCGUAUUUGCCGCUGAUAGAAUGCACAUGUUCCCGAGCCUCCUGGGAGAGGUGCUCCAGAAAUCCUUCACAGUCACUGGAGACAGCCUAAAAAUAGAGCCAAGAGCAGCUGGCGGGUCCCAGAAGGUUGGGCCUUCAACUCAGCUUGGGCCUUUCGCUAGGGAUGUGGUGUCUCUGGAGCAAGGCCUUGUGCUGCCUGAAGCCCAGUGCCCUUGGCCUUGGCAAGGGGCCUAUGACCAGUAGCCUCCAUCCAGCCAGAUCUACUUUGCUCAGGCAGCGAGGAAAGGAAGGGGUAUUGCCUGGGCGCAGGCGGGAAUGGGCACUGCCUUUCUGCCCCUGGAACUGCUCACUGCCCGUCACACCAUCGAAACACCCUGGGUUGAAGCCUCGGUGAAGGGAAAGGUGCCGUGCGGUCCAGCAGGGGUGCCAGUUUUGACCUUGGCCUUGACCUUGGUCAGUUUGUACUUCCCUGAGCAAGAUUUGUUGGGGUUAGGCUUUAGGGCAGUGUUUUUCAAAGUGUGGUUCCUAGACCAGCUUAAGUAGAAUCACCCAGUGUUUGUCGAAAAUCCCGGGCCUUAGCCCGGAGCCGCUGAAUCAGAAUCUUGGGGGAGUGGACCCAUGGUUCUUCUGAUAAGUUCUGCAGGUGACUCAUGCCUACAGGCGUUUAAAAGCAGCUGGUUUCCAGCUUCCUCAGUGUAAUGCUGAUCCGCUCCUCUGCCCCGUGAUUAUUCGAAAGAAUCAUCCACCAAUCUGUCCAUCUACCUUUCUGUGCAUCCGUGUCUCUCCAUCUAUCCGUCUGUCCAUCGGGCUGUCAUCUACACUUUGCCAGCUGUCGUCGAGACGAGAGAUCCUUGGCUGCUGGCUGUUGAACAGACAGAAUGUUUCUGGCUCCCAAAUAGAGCCCAGGUCAGCCAGCCCCCAGCCUGCUCACCUGAGUGAGCAGCCUCAGGUGGGCCAGCCUGCUAGGCCUCACUGUCGUGGUUCUUGAGUUACCCUUCCAGUGGUUUGCUGCAGCCCUGAGCACAGGCUCUAAGAUGGCCCAGCGUGUCACACUGGGACCUUCAGAAGUCAAGCUACUGGGUGCUGGAGCCCUGGACCUGUCCUGUGGCUCCAGGGUGUAUAACAAGGCCCGGGGAUGGCUCGCAGCUUGCAGGCUUUGUGCACAGCUGACUGGAGUGCAGGCUUUCUGCAGCAUAGACAUUGCACAUUGGCUGGAUGCCAGUUCAGCACAGUCCAGCACUUAGCUCAUAGUGAUCUAAGCAGAACACCCACAAAACACAUGUAUUUGCAGAACUGCCUGUCCAGCGACACAGGGUGCACACUCGGGCUGGGUCCCCUGUCUCUUCCUCUUGUCCCCACUUUACAGAGGGCCCAGCGAAGACCAAGCAUGUUCCCCAUUCCAUGGCUGGUCGACACUUUGUCCACGUCCAGCCUCUGCAGCUCUGUUCCCACUCUGCCCUAGUACCUCUCUCUGUGGAGGAGUCAAGAUCCUGGGUAAGCCUUUGAACACUGCAUUUAAUGAUCAAGGCAACCUUUAUAUCCUGGAUGAUUAGUGCACCAAAGGGACGUCUCUGGUACUGAGGUUAGAGAAGCAGCAGCAGCAGCCGGAUGUAGUGCGAGUUAAGUAUUGCGUCUUUCCACGUGUCCUAUACUUAUUCCGGCUCGCAGUGCUUUCAGGUCUCUUCCCCUGUGUGUUUGCUUUGAUGCCCUCCUCCAAUAACACACAGCAAAGCCACAUUCCAUUGCUGACCUGGAGGGUCUCCCUUUUGACCAAAGUUUGACUAAAGAACUUGGAAGCACGUCUUACACACCCAGCAAGGGCUUCUCACCUGCUCAGACUUCGGUCCCUUAACUUCUGCAUUCACUUGUGUCCUCCUAAGCAUCCAGACAGAUGGGCUCUACAGUGAUGCUGUUUCUUGGGGUUCCUGCUGGGGUGCAAUGGGAUCAGAGCACUGGGACGCCAGUUGCACCCCCAGCUGGAUCCAGCAUUGCCACAGCUGCGGUGCAGGUCAAAACUGUGGCUUGGAUCUGAUCCCUGGCCUGGGAAUUCCAUAUACCUCUGGGCAGCCAAAAAAAAAAAAAAAAAAAAAAAAAAACCAACAACAACAAAAAAAGAUGCUGUUUUUGACCAUCUUCUUCUGCUUUUCUGGUUUUCCUGUUUUGAUUUAUCUAGCUCACUGCUGGCUGUCUGUCUCUGGGCACCAUCUCACUUUUAUGGGGAUUGCUCAGGCCACCGAACAAGCCGCACACACAGAGCCGGGUUACAAUCCCGCCCAGCUUUCCCGUCCCUCUGACCCAGACAGCGAGUGUGAGUGCACGAGAACGCCCGUGGCUCCCACUUCUUUUCAGACCUGAAGUAGCCUGUCCCUGGAUGUCCCAGGACAGGGAACCAGAGGUCAGCAUGUGCUCAGCGCCUGUCAACUGUGGGACAGAGGAAGGCUGACAAAAGUGCUGAGCAGCCGAGUUGAAACCGUCCUUAAUCUGCUUGGCCAAUUGACCGUGAUCUUGCUAUAAGGCGGGCAGAGGAGCCCCGUGGGACUGAGGCUUCACCCCAGGGAAUUCUUAGAGCGCCCCUGCUGCCCGGCAGGUGCACCUACCCCAGGGAGAUGGUUCAACAUCUGGGCUUCCCUGUCGGGGAGGGUGGCUUCUCCUGGGUGGCCGGGUUAGCCCUGCUUGGAAUGGUUAACCCAAAUCUCACUCAUCCCUUUCUUCCUCUUCCUAUCCUUUCCUUCCUGUUGACAGGAAGCCCUUCCCCACCAGCUCGUGCCUUGUCACCAACCCAUCAGAUACCCUCUGGGCUGUGGGGCUUGUGCCAGGGCCUCUGUGUCCUGAUCUCCUCUGACCUGGCAGCGAAGUUGCCAAUGAGUGUACGGCAAAGACCAGUUUGCUCUUGAUAACCCUGGGAGUCCAGCCUCUUUUCCAUGAGGCCGACAUGUUCCCAGCUGUGGGAGCCAUGCUGCCCUGCCAGCCUCCUGCGGGGGCCUGGCAGGAACUCUGUGCAGAGCCCAGAGCAGGUGGCCUCUGACUGACCCCUCCUGGAGCUGGGGGGAUGGAGGAAGCACAUGCCAGGGCUGAAAGUUGCAGGAACUGGGGCACCAGCGUUUCUGUUGGUAAAGAAAUGGGGAGCGAAGUUGCUAGGACCACGCUUACAGUUGGGUAUCAUUCGAAGGGCGUUUUUCCCAUGUUGACCUGUCAGUGCACCUGUGUCUCUUUCUCAGGUGCUGUGCUGGGUGUUGGGGAUACAAAGCCGAACAGGGUUGCGGGCUGAAAUGUGUCCCCUAAAGCUCGGUUGAAGCCCUAGCCUCUGGUACCCGUGAAUAUGACCUCAUUUAGUCGCAGGGGCUUUGCAGAUGGAACAGCCGAGUGAAGAUGGGGCCAGGCUGGGCCCCUAAUCCAAUAUGACUGGCCUCCUUAUGACAAGGGAGAUUUGGAUUCAGAGACUCUGAAGGAAGAGCUUGUGAAGACAAAGGCAGAGAUUAGAGAGAAGCUGCCACAAGCCAAGGAGCCCUGGGGCUACUGGAGGCUCAGAGGGACAAGGAGGGCCCUCCUCGCUUUCAGGCUUCAUCCUCCAGCACGGCAGGAGAGGUUCUGUAGAUUUAAAUACACGCUGCUUGUGACACUGUGUUGUGGCCAGCCCGGGGGCCCUGCAUUCACAGCACAGCAGGGACAAUGGUCGUUCUGCUGUCAUCCGCCGGCCCCGUUCUUGUCCGUAGGAUAGCAUGUAACGAGCAUCCCCAGCGCUUUCCUCUUCCGAGCAAUUCAGACGCUUCUCGAUGGAUGGUUUUGCUCAUGGUGCCUAUGGCUGGUCAAUAGUGUGGAUGAAUAGUGUGGUUUCCGUCAUGGCCCAGUGGUUAACAAGCCCGACUAGGAACCGUAAGGUUGCAGGUUCAAUCCCUGGCCUCGCUCAGUAGAUUAAGGAUCCGGUGUUGCUGUGAGCUGUGGUGUAAGUCGCAGAUGCAACUUGGAUCUGGUGUUGCUGUGGCUGUGGCGUAGGUCGGCAGCUGUAGCUCCGAUUCGACCCUUUACCUGGGAACCUCCGUAUGCGGAAGAUGAAGCCCCAAAAAGAUACAUGGACCAAAAAAAAAAAAAAA